UUCAAUCUAUUCCGAUGCUUCCACUCAAUCUAGUCGAUUUCACUGUCAUGGGAUGUGAAUCUCUUGAGACAGUGUUGAGUUCAAUGGAUGAUCCAUAUGACAAACCCAAUCCUAGUACUGUUAGUUUCCGUAACUGCAACCAAUUGGAUCCGCAUUCGUAUCAGACAGUUUUGAACAAUGCUAUUGCUGCGAUUGAACUUGGAGCAACUGGAGAAGAUAAUAGUAGCAUUCAGUACCUGUUACCAGAUAUGCCUGGCAGAGAGUAUCGGUUCCAUUACCGUUCUACACAAGUUUCAAUCACUCUUGAGCUUCCUCCUAAUUUGUUGGGUUUCGCCUAUUACUGGGUUCUUUCUCAAGGCUAUUUGGGAAGAAGUGCACGUUUUGGAUGUGAGUGCUACUUGGACAGUAGUUCAGUUGAAAGGAUCUGUAUAACAAGAUUCCCCAGACCCGAUAUGUUCAGAUCUGGCAUGUAUUAUGGUAAUGAGAUUAUAAUCCUCAUGAAGUCGGAUCAUGUGGUUUUAUGGUAUGAUCCAGUAUCUUGCAAUCAGAUAAUGAAAGCAGUUGAAGAAACAAAAGCCAGUAAUGAUGUGAACAGCACCAGUUACAAUCCAAAGCUUACAUUUAGAUUCUUUUUUGAUGGAAAUAAAACUCUAUAUGAUGAAGUAGCAAUAAAAGAGUGUGGGUUUCACUGGAUAUAUAAAAAAGAAACAGUUCCUCCAACAAGGAAAUUGAAGCAACAUGUCUUUGGAACUCCAAUGCCAAGCCUAGAAUUAGAUGUAACAAAAGGCUUGAGGUAAUAAUCUUCUUAGCACUUAUUAUACUAAUUAUAAUAACAGUUAAUUUGGUACUACAUUUAGUUUACAUGCUCUGAUCCAUUUUAUGUUUAUGAGUAGGUAUUUACUUGAAUAACAACAUGCAUAUUGGAUUUGGUGGAGACAACAUGGACACUUGUGUUUGGUUGGAGAGAAGAAAAAAGCAAGAGAGGAAGAGGAGAGAACAUGGCCAAAUUUGGAUAUAAAUUGUUUUCAAUGUAUUCUUCAAUAAUAAAGGUAUAAGAUAAGAUAUUAGUAGUUUAGUACUCAUGUAAUGUAUGAUUGUGAGUUUUAACAAAUGAUGACAUAUAUGCCAUGUAUUCUUCAUUAUUGCUCUGAAUAUUCUGUUUUGGAAUAUUACUAUAAAUUGUUCAACUUUUAUAAGAAAAAUAUCAUUCAUCGUGUUAAAUCAGCCUAUUAUGAUUGAAGUAUUUUUUGUCCCUAGACUUCACUAUUUUAAGAAAAAUAUUUUAAAGUUUGUUCCUCAUGUUAAUUUAUAUAUCAGAGAUGAUCUAACCUUCAAUAUAAGUCAUCUUGCUAGCACAAUUCUUUCUAUUAUGACUUUUNNNNNNNNNNNNNNNNNNNNNNNNNNNNNNNNNNNNNNNNNNNNNNNNNNNNNNNNUUCACUAGUAUGUAUAGCUUCUUUGUUGGAACAAUUGUUCCCUCUUGCUCAUCAGAUUCAGUUCCCCAAACUCUAUUUUGGUCUUCACUGUUUUCCAAGUCACAAAUUUCCUUAUAACCUCUCUUGGAUUUGGACCUUCCUCCUAUAUCCGCAACAAUUUGAUCUUUUGAGGGAUAUAUCCAGCGAAACCCACACUGUUUUAUCACUACUUCUUCAUCAUAUGGAGUUUCGACGAAGAAUCUAAAUGUUUUUUUUGGAUUGUAAUUGGUGCUCAAAUCAUUAAUGGCUUUUCUUUCUUCAACUGCAUCCAAUAUCCGCUUGCAAAUUCUGCAUCAUACCAAAAAAGUACAUGAUCUGAUAUCAUGUUGACCGAAGUAUCUGUAUCAAUAUUAAACCACCCUGCCAUUUCAUCUCUAAGAAACUAGUUAUUUUGAUCCUUUCUCCUGAACUACUUUCCAAGCAACACACAUCCAAAACGUCCACCAUAUCCCAUUCUUCCUUGAGAAAGAACCAAGUAGUAGACAAAACCAACAAUUUGGGGGAAGUUCAACACUUACCAAAGUUUUUGUAGAAUGGUAAUGGAAAAUAUCUUGAACUUUAUUGCUCAUAGGCUCAUAGCAAAUAAGAAGUACCAAUUACCAAAUACCACUUUUUAAUGUAUGGAUUCUGUUAGAAUAGAAAAUAUUAUAUUAUUAUUUGUUGAGAAAAUAUCUCUAUGAUUUGGUUUGUUUAUUCUUAGCCCUAUAAUAAAGGGAUUUAGUUUAUAUUUAAAUAUAUUCACUUGGUUAUAAAUACCAAGGCAGCCGUACAAUUUUAUUAUGUAAAUAAUGCAACUAGCUCAUUGAGAUCAUUAUCAAUAAUAUUCAUUGUUCCUUAUUAUUUUCUCAUAUUGUUUCACCUAACUAGAUAACUUAAAGGAGAAUGUUAACUUGUGCCCUUAAGGGCACAUGUUAAGAAGAUAAAUAUGAAAAAAAUUUAUUGAACUUGUGGUGUAUUCAAUUAUCUAAACAUUAAAUUCUUUGUAUUAUUAAAUGCUAUAUUUCUAUUUUAAGGUAGCUUAACAUGUGCCCUUAGGGCACAAGUUAACAUGACCCUAACUUAAAAUUCAACAGAUUCUAUAUAAACCACGUUCACCAUCAUGACCUCAAAAACAAGAAUAUUCUAUGGAGCGCCGCUAUUCAAAAACAAAGAAAUGGACCCAUUGUUCUAGGUUGAGCCUUGAGAUCAUGAACAAAAGUUAUGAGGCAAGUUUUUCCGGAAAUCUCAACAGAAUUUAUGGGGCCUUUAACAAUGCUUUUAAUACUAGGUUUUUUAAAUUUAAUUUCUUUUCUUUAUGCAUAUUUGAAUUCUUUAAUAUCAUUCCGUAAACUAUCAGAUGUUCCGCGAAAAACUUCAGGUAACAGCUGGAAGCAAGUUUGAGGGAGUUUGGAGGCGUCAGCAUGAGCGUAUAAAACUAUUUGAUUACAUUCUCGGGAUAUUAAUUUGUUGUCUAUACUACAGUAUAAAAUUAUUUCAUUAAAGAGUUUUUAAAUUGCAAUGUGUCAACAAUCAGAGAAAAGACCUGCUAAAUAACAAUCAGAAGAACCAUCACAAUUUGGUUUGGAAGAAGCCACCAUUUUUCUUACACGUUGUAUUCUAGCAACUCGGAAGUAAGAAUUAGAGGGCAUGGAUAACUUUGAUGGUAUCAUGAUUCUAACAUCAGUCACUUGAUUCAAGAAGAAAAAUUUCUCAACUUUUUUUUCUUCAGAAUAGUCAUCCACGAUAGGGUUCGAAAGUGAUGAUGUACAUUUUUUUUUACUCAAGAUGAAAAAGAACCUUGAAUUAUUGGAUUGUAGGAAAACUUGUGGCAUUUCAGGUAAAUGGCAAUACUUGUUUUUAAUGGCAUUAGAAAUUGUUGAUGCAAGAGUGACAUAUUGCUCUAAAUGCAAGGUAAUCAUUUCAGGGACAAACAUUUCGUAAUCUGCUCUAACAUAUCAACCGGUAGAUUUGUCAAUAUGUUGUUCUUUUCCACCUCGUACUUUUCAUGAGCCACUACAUAAAUGAACUAUAAGCUUCUUCUAUAUAAAAGGCUAAAUCUAAUUAAUUGAUGUGUCGAGAACUAUGUAACCCAAAUACAUAUUAAUGAAUAGGUAGAUUCUUAACUACUCAUUCCACUAAAAUGGGUAGAGUGACCCAUCCCAAUUGACACUAAUCAAAACCAUUAAUUUUUUCAUCUAUUAUUUAUGUUAUAGAAAUAUAUAUUUUACAAUAUUAGUAUGUUAAAUUGGUAUAAUUGCAAAAACACCCACAAAUUUUUCAUUCCACUAAGAAAAAAAUAUAGUACAAUCACAAGCACCGAAAUAAUAUUCUUAAUAUUCUGUAAACACAACCACAAGUUCAAUCUACAACUUCAGUUCAAUGAGCUCCCAGGGAUCCUCUUCUUCAUGUUUGCAAAUGAACUUCUUCCUUGUUUUCAACUAAACUAUAGUAUUAUGCUUCUUUUUCAUUUUUGUUUUUGUAUUUGUCAAAUUUUCGGAUCUUAAUAUUGCAACAAAUUGAAAAGAAAAAUUAUAUGACAUCUGUAGAUCAUGAUUUUACGAAUUUAACGCCACAAAUUUCAUGAAUUUUCGACAACCAUGGAUGGAGAAAUCAAUGAAAAACCUUUGUUUAUUGGAUUCACGAAUUGCUCCUUAAAUAUCAUGUUUUGAUAUUUAAGACUUAAUAAUUUUGUGUUAAAAUCAUUAGAAAUUGUAUUCCGGUCGAAACCCACAAAAAAUCGUGUGAAACGGGUCUGAAAAACGAAAGAUAACGAUUCCGGGUCGUGAUCCGCGUUUUGACCCGGUUGCUUGCUGGUCGUGGAUCGACCCGUCAGAGGUUGAAGCGUGGAUAAUGCAUAGGUUCACCUAUCAUAUGCUUAAAUUCCAUUUUUUAAUUGGAAUGUGAUGGAAUCGGGGAUCGAACUCUAGACUACUUAGUCAUAGAGGCUCUGAUAUUAUGUCAAAUAACCAAUUAUCCCAAAAGUUUAAGCUGUUAGAAUAAAGUCACAUCAAUGAUUUUAUAUUAUUUUUUUUUUUUUAAAAAAAAAAAANNNNNNNNNNNNNNNNNNNNNNNNNNNNNNNNNNNNNNNNNNNNNNNNNNNNNNNNNNNNNNNNNNNNNNUGAUGUCAAUACUUUUGCAUCAAAUAAAUAAAUAAAUUGAUUAGGUAAUAUAAUUGGUAUGUGAUUGGGUCAGUUGUGUUAAUAAAAUAUUUGUACACAUUAGACAUUAAUUAAUUAAUUUGUGGAUGAAGUCUAGCCAUGUAAAGUCUUUUUUAAAUUUUUUUUUGGAUCACUAUAGAUGCGGUGGUAAUUAAUCACCAUUCGAAAAAUAUUCAGCCAUCGUAUCUAAUAUGCUCCAUUAUUUAUAAUCUCAUUUUAUUUAAUUUGUUUUCUCUACAAUAAAUACUUACCUAAGGAGGGAUAUGUGGAGCUUGCAGAAAGAGCAAUUGAUCAUGCCCAAGGCAACCCUUUAGCUUUGAAAGUAUUUGGAUCAUUUCUUCGUGGCAAAAGUAAANNNNNNNNNNNNNNNNNNNNNNNNNNNNNNNNNNNCUAAAGGAAAUUCCCAAUGGAAAAAUUGAUAGGAUAUUGAGAUGGAGUUAUGAUGAAUUGGAUGAUCAAGAGAAAAAUACAUUUCUAGACAUUGCAUGCUUUUUCAAAGGACAUAAAAGGGAUUGGGUAACAAAAAUAUUAAAUGAGUGUGGUUUCUUNNNNNNNNNUAAGAACUCUUUUAGACAAGGCUCUUAUAAGAGUUGACUUUGAAAAUUGCAUACAAAUGCAUGACUUGAUACAAGAAAUGGGAAAACAAAUUGUUCGUGAAGAAUCUCUUAAAAAUCCCGAACAACGGAGUAGAUUAUGUGAUCCUAAGGAAGUUGGUGACAUGUUGAAAAAUAAUAGAGUAAGAGAUGAUACCCUCAUUUGACUUUCUUUACAGAAAAUGCAACUUACUAUAGAAAUACUAACUCUGAGUUUUUUUUUCCAGGGAACUAAGAUUGUUGAAGCCAUAUUUUUUAAUGCUGAUGAAUAUACAAAUAUAAAUUUAAGCCCCAAAGCAUUUAAAAAAAUGGUAAAGCUAAGGUUACUUGCUAUUCAAGACCGAAAGGGAUAUGUAAGCCUUCCAUAUGGUCUUGACUUAUUGUCAACAAAUUUGAGAUAUUUUUCUUGGCAUGGAUAUCCAUUGAAGACUCUACCUCCAGCCUUUUGUCCUGAAAUGCUUGUGGAGCUUUGUUUGAAAGAAAGCAAUGUACAAAAACUUUGGAAAGGAGUACUGGUAUGCAUUGUCCAUGUAUUUAUUAUUAUACUUCUAUUUUUAUAAUUUUUUAAAAUAGUUCUUUAGCAUUUCUGAACUUUCAUAUAUAAAACUUUUUUUUUUAUACAUGUUACAUUCAAAACAUAAAAAGACAUUUAGCAUCUGAUGGUUUUCUUUUAAUAAUUAUCAUAAAAAAUAUUUUAAAAAUGUGAUAAUGAAUAUGAGACAUAUUGUACUUGUGUAUUUCUCAAUUAAAAAAAAAAUAUUCUCUAAAAAAUAAUCAAUUACCUUCUAUGAUAAAUAUUUUUACUAUUUAGAAAAUUUCAUUUAAUACUCCUUUCGAUUCUUUUUAUAUGAGAGAUACGGGUCAAAAUAAUUGAUGUAAUUUGUGAUGGUUCCUAGAUUUCCUCACAAAUAUUUUGCAAAGCGUGAUUUAGAAGGGUCUCAGUUUGUCACUAAAUCCGUCGCUAAUUUAGUUUGUGACGGAAUUUUACUAUGUUAACGACGGAUUCUUGCCCUCACUAAAUUUAAUUUUUCUAGUGGUGAAUUUUUGUUAACUCAUAUGGCUCUUAUUAAGAAGAACAAAAGGUAUAUUUUUCCCUAUAAAGAUUAAAAGUCAAAGAAAAUUAAUUUUAUAGUGACAAAAAAAAAAUCAAUUUUAUAGGAAAAAAAAAACCUAUUUAAUCUUCAAAUGUACUUUUUAGUGAACACUCAUCACAUACCUUAAAGUUUUGUUGGAUAUAGUAGCACUCAAAUAUACAAUCAUUUAAUAUCAUAUCAUUUUUAUGUUUAAUUUUUUUAAAAUUAAAUUUAACUUAAGACAUGUUAAGAAAGUAAAUGUUAAAUUUUAAUCUUAAAAUGUGUGUUAAAAAAACAAUAUUUAAACUUUAAAGAGCUAAACAUACACACACAAAAAAAAAACUAAGCACAAUUUUUAAUAUAAAAUUUUUAUUUUUAUUUUCUUAACAUGUGGUCUUAAGACACUAUUACUAAAACCCUUAAAUUAUACUCACGUCCUAAAGAAGUUUCCUUACCUUUGUUAGUGGUUUCCAAUUGGAGUGGUUGCCAAUUGGGAAUUCUAGGAUUUAAGAAAAUGUAGUAAUUAAUUUGUUUGACUAAUUGUAUAUUGUUACAGCAUUUGCCAAAUUUAGAGAGACUUGACCUCAGUCGCUCCAAAAAAUUGAUAGAGUGCCCAAAUGUGUCUGGUUGCCCGAAUCUAAAAGUUUUAAUACUUGAUAAUUGUGAUAGCUUGCCUGAAGUUGAUUCAUCAAUUUUCCUUCUCCAAAAGCUUGAACGAUUAUGGAUGGCUGAAUGUACGUCACUAAAGAGCCUUUCCAGUAACACUUGUUCACCAGCCCUCACUGAAUUAGAUGCAACGCAUUGCAUCAAUCUCCAAGAGUUCUCAGUCACAUUUGCUUCCACUGAUGGUUUGGUUUUGUUUUUACCAGAUAGUUGGAAUGGGAAUGAACUUCCAUCAUCAAUAUUGAAUAAAACAAAUCUUGGAACCUUUCAAUUUCCUUUGAUUGAAUGUCUUGUCGAUCUUCCUGAAAACUUUGCCAAUUGUAUUUCCCUCCAUGGUCCACGAAAUCGUGAACUUGACCAUUCCAUCACCUUACAUAAAUUACUUUCUAGUCCUGCUUUCACCACUUUAAAACACUUAAUCAUUUCUAGUAUCCCUAUGUUGUCUGAAAUCUCAGACAACAUCUCCUUACUAUCAUCAUUAGAGACUUUAGAACUAUAUAAUAUUGGCAUUAGAAGCUUGCCCGAAACCAUUAAGUAUCUUCCCCGACUCUACCGGCUUUAUGUUAGUUUUUGUGAAAUGCUUCAAUCUAUUCCGAUGCUUCCACUCAAUCUAGUCAAUUUCACUGUCUUCGAAUGUGAAUCUCUUGAGACAGUGUUGAGUUCAAUGGAUGAUCCAUAUGACAAACCCAAUCCCAGUACUGUUAUUCUCCGUGACUGCAAACAAUUGGAUCCGCAUUCGUAUCAGACAGUUUUGAACAAUGCUAUUGCUGCGAUUGAACUUGGAGCAACUGGAGAAGAUAAUAGUAGCAUUCAGUACCUGUUACCUGAAAUGCCUGGCAGAGAGUAUCAGUUCCAAUUCCAUUACCGUUCUACACAAGUUUCAAUGACUCUUGAGCUUCCUCCUAAUUUGUUGGGUUUUGCCUAUUAUUUGGUUCUUUCUCAGGGCUGGGUGGGAGAAGGUGCCCG
RNAcentral lists this long non-coding RNA (7905 nucleotides) under Trifolium pratense (red clover). RNAcentral's name for it is "long non-coding RNA (TPRA_LNC002461)". Lineage: Eukaryota; Viridiplantae; Streptophyta; Magnoliopsida; Fabales; Fabaceae. The record is from RNAcentral.